RNAcentral lists this ribosomal RNA (496 nucleotides) under uncultured bacterium. RNAcentral describes it as "partial 16S ribosomal RNA". It matches the Rfam family "Bacterial small subunit ribosomal RNA", at positions 28 to 506 of the family's 1533-position model. The record is from RNAcentral.
GAUGAACGCUGGCGGCGUGCCUAAUACAUGCAAGUCGAGCGAACAGAUAAGGAGCUUGCUCCUUUGACGUUAGCGGCGGACGGGUGAGCAACACGUGGGUAACCUACCUAUAAGACUGGAAUAACUCCGGGAAACCGGGGCUAAUGCCGGAUAACAUUUAGAACCGCAUGGUUCUAAAGUGAAAGAUGGUUUUGCUAUCACUUAUAGAUGGACCCGCGCCGUAUUAGCUAGUUGGUAAGGUAACGGCUUACCAAGGCAACGAUACGUAGCCGACCUGAGAGGGGGAUCGGCCACACUGGAACUGAGACACGGUCCAGACUCCUACGGGAGGCAGCAGUAGGGAAUCUUCCGCAAUGGGCGAAAGCCUGACGGAGCAACGCCGCGUGAGUGAUGAAGGUCUUCGGAUCGUAAAACGCUGUUAUUAGGGAAGAACAAAUGUGUAAGUAACUGUGCACGUCUUGACGGUACCUAAUCAGAAAGCCACGGCUAACUACGU